RNAcentral lists this long non-coding RNA (2499 nucleotides) under Homo sapiens (human). Its description in RNAcentral is "LHRI_LNC1578.1". The record is from RNAcentral. Lineage: Eukaryota; Metazoa; Chordata; Mammalia; Primates; Hominidae.
UGGGGGGCCCCAGCCCUGGGCCCUGAGCUCACCUUGACCCCAUCCGAAGAUCCAAGAGGGCUGGCCCUGGGGGGCCCCCGGCCCUGGGCCCUGAGCUCACCUUGACCCCAUCCGAAGAUCCAAGAGGGCUGGCCCUGGGGGGCCCCCGGCCCUGGGCCCUGAGCUCACCUUGACCCCAUCCGAAGAUCCAAGAGGGCUGGCCCUGGGGGGCCCCCAGCCCUGGGCCCUGAGCUCACCUUGACCCCAUCCGAAGAUCCAAGAGGGCUGGCCCUGGGGGGCCCCCAGCCCUGGGCCCUGAGCUCACCUUGACCUCAUCCGUGAUCAUCAUGGCAUCUUGGGACAUGAUCUUCAUAUCCGACAGCUCUGAGCAGUAGUUGACCACGAGGUUCUGCAGCUUGUCCAGCUCAAUGGGGUAUCCUGCCAGCACCUGUGUUGAAUGGGGUUCUCUUGUGGCCCCUACAGAGUGGGCUGCAGUUGCCCCGAGCUUUUAUCCCCCGACUAAGAGCCCUGAGAACAGUGAUAGGUUCUCCUCUGUGGCCCCAGCCACCUCCCCCACUCCCCGCUGGGCACAACGGUGAUGAAAGGUGUUUCACAGGGAGUGGACAGUGCUGGCCUGGUGGACUCUUUCACCACCUAGGGUCCAACAACCCAGAGAGACUGAGAGAGUUUGUGAUGAAAUGCUCUGCAGAAAAGGCUGACUGAAACCCGGGGAGGUUUGGGGACAGUUCUGCUUUGAAGUGAAACAGAGGGGCUCAAGACAUGGGCUUGGGGUCAGAGAGUCAGGAUUCAAGGCCAAGGCAGCUUCUGACCAGCUAGUUUAGCUGUGUGACAUUGGGAAAGUUACUUAAUCUCUCUGUGUCCCCAUUUGUAAGAUGAUGGCUCGUUCAGAAGGUUGCCAUCAGGAUGAAUUGAGUGUAAAAGGAAUUAUUUAGCCCAGAACCAGGUACAUACGUGCUCAGGAUAGCUUUGCUAUAGUGGUUUGUUUUUUGUAACUACAAGUAUAGGCCAGGUGCGGUGGCUCACGCCUGUAAUCCCAACACUGGGAGGCCGGAGGCAGGCAGAUCAUGAGGUCAGGAGUUAGAGACCAGCCUGGCCAACAUAGUGAAACCCUGUCUCUACUAAAAAUACAAAAAAAAUCAGCCGGGCGUGGUAGUGGGCGCCUGUAAUUCUAGCUAUUCGGGAGGCUGAGGCAGGAGAAUCGCUUGAACCCGGGAGGCGGAGGUUGCAGUGAGCCGAGAUCUCACCACUGCACACCAGCUGGGGCAACAGUGUGAAACUCCAUCUCAAAAAACAAAACAAACAAAAACAAAACUAGAAGUGUAGAAUCUUCAUUUUUAAAAAUAUGGAUGACUAUGGGAAUUAUUGCUUGUUUUUUCCUUUGUUCUGAGACUGAAUCUCACUCUAUCACCCAGGCUGGAGUGCGAUGGUACGAUCUCGGCUUGCAGCAACCUCUGCCUUCUGGGUUCAGGUGAUUCUCGUGCCUCAGCCUCCCGAGUAGCUGGGAUUACAGGCAUGCACCACCAUGCCAGGCUACUUUUUGUAUUUUUAGUAGAGAUGAAGUUUCACCAUGUUGGCCAGGCUGGUCUAGAACUCCUGACCUCAAGUGAUCCGCCUGCCUUGGCCUCCCAAAGUGCUGGGAUUACAGGCAUGAGCCACCAUGCCCAGGCCGGGAAUAAUUGUUUUUUAAGUGUGUAUGUUCUAAACAGAAGAAGGCGCUACCAGAGGAACAGAAAGCACCCAGGCGAAGGAGGGGCAUGGACAGGGGUGGGGAGAGGGGUGGGCCCAGGAAGCAUAGAGGGGCAGGGCUUCCAGGUGAGCCAAUAGGACCAGGGGCCAAGGCAAGAGGGACAAGCAGAGGACGGUGCUGAGAGCCACCUGGGCUGGGACCACAGCAGGAAAAGAGCUGCGAUGCAGCCUCCGUCCACCACUCCUCCUAAACUGCACUUCCAUGCUGUCACCUUCCCGAAGCAUGGCUCUCCAGAGCUCCCCUUUGCCCAGUCUUAGGGUGAGGGUGUUUCCAGCUGGCUCCCCGCCCCAUCCACAGGUUGCUCCUCUUAGCACCUCCUGUGCUCUCCCUAUCUACAGCCCAUCUGGAGUAGGUUCUGCUUUGUGGCAGCCCGAGGGGCGGUGCUCAGCCUCCCAUGAAGGGGGUCUUCCCUCACAAUCGGACUGCUGGCUGCCUUUGGCCUCGUCUGCAGGGAGCAGGGCGGGUGGGCUGGCUGGGACGGCAGCAAGCCCUGCUUACAGGCCCAGCGGACCCUCAAAGGUGCAAGGACUUUCUGAGGGUGCAGGACCUGUCUGACUCUCAGAGGCCCAGGCAAUGAGAAAAUGACAGGCAAGAUACAAACAAUACCAAAUCAUUUAAUACGUGCAAGAAAGUCCGAAGAAUUCUGAUAUACCCCACGAUAUGCUUUUUUGGAAUAGCCAAAAAUGAAGUUUAAAAAAACGUUUUCCACAUGCCUCGGCGUCCUGCGUAGCCGGUGGUCAGGCAGAGCUCCC